RNAcentral lists this ribosomal RNA (253 nucleotides) under uncultured bacterium. RNAcentral describes it as "partial 16S ribosomal RNA". It matches the Rfam family "Bacterial small subunit ribosomal RNA", at positions 524 to 776 of the family's 1533-position model. The record is from RNAcentral.
UACGUAGGUGGCAAGCGUUGUCCGGAAUUAUUGGGCGUAAAGCGCGCGCAGGCGGCCUUUUAAGUCUGCUGUGAAAGCCCACGGCUCAACCGUGGAAGGUCAUUGGAAACUGGGGGACUUGAGUACAGAAGAGAAGAGUGGAAUUCCACGUGUAGCGGUGAAAUGCGUAGAGAUGUGGAGGAACACCAGUGGCGAAGGCGACUCUUUGGUCUGUAACUGACGCUGAGGCGCGAAAGCGUGGGGAGCAAACAGG